RNAcentral lists this unclassified non-coding RNA (418 nucleotides) under soil metagenome. RNAcentral's name for it is "partial contains 5.8S ribosomal RNA, internal transcribed spacer 2, and large subunit ribosomal RNA". The stretch from base 1 to 120 matches the Rfam family "5.8S ribosomal RNA", at positions 35 to 154 of the family's 154-position model. The record is from RNAcentral.
GAUGAAGAACGUAGCGAAAUGCGAUAAGUAAUGUGAAUUGCAGAAUUCAGUGAAUCAUCGAAUCUUUGAACGCAUCUUGCGCUCCUUGGUAUUCCUUGGAGCAUGCCUGUUUGAGUAUCAUGAGCAAAUCUCAAAGUCAAUUCCUUUUGUUGAUUCAAUUGGUUUUGCUUUGGACUUGGAGGCCUUGCAGAUUUCACAGUCUGCUCCUCUUAAAUGCAUUAGCUGGAUCUCAGUAAUUAUGCUUGGUUCCACUCGGCGUGAUAAGUAUCACUCGCUGAGGACACAGUUAAAAAGGUGGCCAGGAAAAUACUGAUUGAACCGCUUCUAACGGUCUAUUAAGUUAGACAAUUACCCUUAAGUUUGAUCUCAAAUCAGGUAGGACUACCCGCUGAACUUAAGCAUAUCAAUAAGCGGAGGA